UACAGGGGGCUCGAGCGUUAGUCGGAAUCACUGGGCUUAAAGGGUGCGUAGGCGGCUCGCCAAGUGCUUUGUGAAAUCCCACAGCUCAACUGUGGAACAGCAGGGCAAACUGUCGAGCUUGAGGCAGGUAGGGGCCGGAAGAACAGUUGGUGGAGCGGUGAAAUGCGUAGAUAUCAACUGGAAUGCCGAUGGGGAAGCCGUCCGGCUGGGCCUGUCCUGACGCUGAGGCACGAAAGCGUGGGGAGCAAACAGG
Molecule: ribosomal RNA, 253 nt
Filed under: uncultured bacterium
Lineage: Bacteria
Description: partial 16S ribosomal RNA
Rfam family: Bacterial small subunit ribosomal RNA
Source: RNAcentral